AUGGCCGCUUCGCGCCCAACGGAGCUGCUGCAAACCGCCUCUGCCGCGCAAGCCUCUCACGCCUCCACCGUCACAGGUUCACGCUUGCAAACCGCCUCUGCCGCGCAAGCCUCUCACGCCUCCACCGUCACAGGUUCACGCUUGCAAACCGCCAGGACUCUGCCCGGUCGCCUCAACUACGACGAACCACCCUCGUCUUAUUGCAGCGGGAGAGUCGUCACCGGCGUCGAUUGCGGUGGGGAGCCGGCCCUGGCCGUGACCCGCCGCCGGUCCACCCCUCAGCUCCGGGUUAAAGCUUCACCUCGGGCGGCCGGCCUGGCCGCUUCAGCUGCUGCCUCGGGCCGCCCACGCCGGACCAGGACUGCGACACCAGCCUGUAAACCGCCGCCGCGGAUUCAGCCCGCCGGACCUCCGCCCUGA
This 420-nucleotide ribosomal RNA is filed under the name Triticum aestivum (bread wheat). RNAcentral's name for it is "partial small subunit ribosomal RNA". The record is from RNAcentral. Lineage: Eukaryota; Viridiplantae; Streptophyta; Magnoliopsida; Poales; Poaceae.